Bubalus bubalis (water buffalo) is the source of this 2732-nucleotide long non-coding RNA. RefSeq lists it as uncharacterized. NCBI's taxonomy places the organism in Eukaryota, Metazoa, Chordata, Mammalia, Artiodactyla, Bovidae. The record is from RefSeq and is a predicted model, not a curated record. The transcript has 2 exons.
GGGGAAAGAUGAUCCUGCCAACAGCUGCCAGAGGGCCAGAGCCGUCUGCUGGAGAGCGUUUUCACAUUCACAGUGAAGACAGCCGAGGCCGGGGCAGGGGAAGCAGGGGCCAGGGACCCAGGAGGCUGCUGCCUUGCAAGAGCACGGCGCCGCCUCCGAGGCAGAGGGAGGAGGUCACCCACGUUCGUGGGCAUCCUCUCCUCCCCACCCACUCCUGGGCAGCCUGCCAGCUCCAGGAAGUCGGCUGGAAUCGACAUCCCUGCUGUCUCACAGGAGUCUGGCUCCCAGACACCCUGGGGCUUCAGCUGACUUAGCCCAUCCUGCAGGGGGUGCGGGGGCAGUCCGCCCUAAAGUAGGGUGGCAGGAGCUCCACACAUCAGCUCUCAAAAGAUACCGCAUCCAGUCCUAACAGAGGCGGCUCGGGUGGCGUCAGUGACCAUGACUCCACGGGAGGAGGACUGCAGACCCCCCUUCCCUUCUCUUGCUGCUAGCUGGUCUGAAUCCCUCGCUCUGUGGCUGAGUUCCCCUCUGGUCUGGCUCCAUCAGUGAUGGGACCAAGCUGGCCCCUGGCAGGUCACUGCAUGACUGAGUGCCUCACUGUGCCAGGCAGACAGGGGGUCCUGUGGCUCCUCUCUGUGUCCCCUGCCACACACACACUCCUCCACAUCGGACGUUGUGAGAGCCCAGCACCAGACGGAGCCAGGCGUGGUGUGAGGAGGGGGUCAUGGGAUCCGGGCAGCCAUCGGGGGCAGCCCACCCCAGGACGGGGUGCUGGGCAUUCUCACUUCUCCAGGCACCCAGGCCCCCGGACUCCUAUUCAGGGUUCCAGAAAGACAUUAGGGUGUCCAGGAGGGGCUCACACCCCUGGGCUGUUUCUGAAGGGACUGGUUACGAGGUGAUCUUGGCCGUUGGAGGAGGCUGCGGUUCUUCUCAAGGCCCUGGACGUGGGGCCCGCAAGCCCGAGUGACAACUCGCCUUCAGGCUGGUUCUCCCGCGUUGUCCUCCUGCUCUGACCCUUCAGUCCCAUGGCCAGGAAAGAUGGGCUUCCUAGAAGACCUAGCUAGCUACUGAUUAGCUCUGUGACCUUAAGCUGAGUUAAUAUCUCUUUGAGCCCUCUUUGUAAAUUGUGGGGGGACCUCCUCCUUAGAAUGUGUGCAAAGUGUGGUAGGAACCCCCCUGAGAAUGUGUGAAAAGUGUGGUAGGAAUCCACCUUAGAAUGUGCGCAAAGUGUGGCAAGAAUCUCCCCCUUAGAAAAUGAGGAAAGUGUGGUAGGAACCCCCCCACCUUAGAACGUGUGCAAGGUGUGGUAGGAACCCCCUGCUUAGAAUGUGUACAAAGUGUGGCAGGUACCCCCCCUUAGAACGUGUGCAAAGUGUGGUUGGUACUCCCUUAGAACAUGUGCCAAGUGUGGUGGGAAUCCCCCACUUAGAAUGUGUGCAAAGUGUGGCAGGUACCCCCCUUGGAACAUGUGCAGAGUGUGGCAGGAACCCUCUUAGACUGUGUGCAAAGUGUGGUAGGAGCCCCCCUUAGAUCGUGUGCAAAGUGUGGUAGGUACCGUGACCAGUGACCAGCAAAGAGGCAUGUUGCUCCUUAUGUGCGGGGCUACUACUCCUGAGGAAUUGAGUCCAGGAGGUUCCAGGUAACAGCAAAAGGGAUGUCAGGCAUCACAGAGCACACACCACAGCCGUAAGAAUUUCCUAGGAUUCUGGAGCAGUUCUUAGUUAUUUUAAUAUCACAGCCUGAGGCUGGCAGGCGACAGUCCAUGGGGUCGCAAGAGUGGGACAUGACUUAGCAACGAAACCACGACCUCUUGGAGAAAAGGAAGACUUCUUCAAGGAUGUGGGAGCCUGGGAUAAAGACCCGGGGGCGGGUCGGUUAGGGACCUACGGAGAGGCUGGAGCCGGCUAACCGGGUGGGACGGGGUUCACCUGGAGCCGGCCACACCCGCGCACCCUGUCCCAGCCCCCGGCGGCGGGGCGGAGCCCUGCGGGGUGGUUGGCGGCUCUGUGCGGCGUCACCGAGGCCGGUCGGGAGCGGCGCGCCGCUGGCCAGGCUUUGGGGGAGGGACCCUCCCGCCUUGGCAGGCGCAGCGUCCCCGGGCCUGCCUCCUCGCUGGCUCCGCCGUCCUCCGCUUCCGCCCUGUCCUGGCUCCCGAAGAGCCGGGGAAGUGCUGAGCUCAGCGCUUCUUGCAGCCCCGGGAUCGGGCUCGCCGCCUUUGUGCCCCGCCUGGGGGGACACGAGCCGGUGUGGGGUGCGGCCCGGGUGCCCGCAGCCCUCCGCCCUGAGUGUACAGACGGCUCUUAGAAUCCCCAGCCCCGGCGCCGGCGCCGUAGCGCCGCUAGGCAGUGCGCGGAGGCGGCCCCGCGGGCCCAGGCUGGACCCCUCUGCCGGAGAGCCCGGGCCUUCUCUGCGCCCCUCCCGGCCCUCUGCGUCUUGCCAAGUGGCGGAUAGACCGGGCUCUGUUCUGGGAGGUUCCGGGCCUUUCUCACUGGGGCCCUGCGCCUCCCUCCACCUGCAGGGCUGGGAGAAGGGAUGGGGAGGUUGGGGGAGGGCGGGGAGGGGGAAGGUUUCCGGGGCUGAGGCGGGUGGGGUGGGGGGGGGGGGUGUCUCUGCUCAGAAAUGACCCCCCGCCGUGGGGUCCACAAAAUCCCUUUUGGGUUUGACAAAAACAGGCAGCACACUUUGCCAGUUUGAGUUUUCCGAAUAGUGCAGUAAAUCAUAAUUUAUCGUGA